UACGGAGGGUGCAAGCGUUGUUCGGAUUUACUGGGCGUAAAGCGCGCGCAGGUGGAUGAGCAAGUCGGAAGUGAAAUCUUGAGGCUCAACCUCGAGGCUGCUCCCGAAACUGUUCGUCUAGGGACUGGUAGAGGCUGGUAGAAUUCCCGGUGUAGCGGUGGAAUGCGUAGAGAUCGGGAAGAACACCCGUGGCGAAGGCGGUUCUCUGGGACGGUACUGACGCUGAGACGCGAAAGCGUGGGGAGCGAACAGG
Molecule: ribosomal RNA, 253 nt
Filed under: uncultured bacterium
Lineage: Bacteria
Description: partial 16S ribosomal RNA
Rfam family: Bacterial small subunit ribosomal RNA
Source: RNAcentral